GAUGAACGCUAGCGGCAGGCCUAAUACAUGCAAGCCGAACGGUAAGUUGAGUAGCAAUACUUGACCUAGAGUGGCGUACGGGUGCGUAACACGUAUGUAACCUACCCUUUACAGGAGUAUAGCUCGGGGAAACUCGGAUUAAUCCUCCAUAAGAUGACAGACCGGCAUCGGUCAGUCAUAAAAACUUAGGUGGUAAAGGAUGGACAUGCGCAUGAUUAGCUAGUUGGAGGUGUAACGGACCCCCAAGGCGAUGAUCAUUAGGGGAACUGAGAGGUUGAUCCCCCACACUGGCACUGAGAUACGGGCCAGACUCCUACGGGAGGCAGCAGUAGGGAAUAUUGGUCAAUGGGUGAGAGCCUGAACCAGCCAUGCCGCGUGCAGGAAGACGGCCUUCUGGGUUGUAAACUGCUUUUACCAGGGGAUAAAAUAUCCUUGCGAGGAAAAUUGAAGGUACCUGGAGAAUAAGCACCGGCUAACUACGUGCCAGCAGCCGCGGUAAUACGUAGGGUGCAAGCGUUGUCCGGAUUUAUUGGGUUUAAAGGGUGCGUAGGCGGGCUAUUAAGUCAGUGGUGAAAUCCAGCAGCUUAACUGUUGAUGUGCCAUUGAUACUGGUAGCC
This 617-nucleotide ribosomal RNA is filed under the name uncultured bacterium. RNAcentral describes it as "bacterial SSU rRNA". It matches the Rfam family "Bacterial small subunit ribosomal RNA", at positions 28 to 641 of the family's 1533-position model. The record is from RNAcentral.